GUUCUCAGUUCGGAUCGGAGUCUGCAACCCGACUCCGUGAAGCUGGAUUCGCUAGUAAUCGCGCAUCAGCCAUGGCGCGGUGAAUACGUUCCCGGGCCUUGUACACACCGCCCGUCAAGCCAUGGGAGCCGGGGGUGCUUGAAGUGCGUCGCCGUGAGGCGCGCCCUAGAGCAAAACCGGUGACUGGGGCUAAGUCGUAACAAGGUACC
Molecule: ribosomal RNA, 209 nt
Filed under: uncultured bacterium
Lineage: Bacteria
Description: partial 16S ribosomal RNA
Rfam family: Bacterial small subunit ribosomal RNA
Source: RNAcentral